RNAcentral lists this ribosomal RNA (252 nucleotides) under uncultured bacterium. RNAcentral describes it as "partial 16S ribosomal RNA". It matches the Rfam family "Bacterial small subunit ribosomal RNA", at positions 524 to 776 of the family's 1533-position model. The record is from RNAcentral.
UACGGAGGAUGCGAGCGUUAUCCGGAUUUAUUGGGUUUAAAGGGUGCGUAGGCGGUCCGUUAAGUCAGCGGUAAAAUUGCGGGGCUCAACCCCGUCGAGCCGUUGAAACUAGCAGACUUGAGUUGGCGAGAAGUACGCGGAAUGCGCGGUGUAGCGGUGAAAUGCAUAGAUAUCGCGCAGAACUCCGAUUGCGAAGGCAGCGUACCGGCGCCAGACUGACGCUGAGGCACGAAAGCGUGGGGAUCGAACAGG